RNAcentral lists this ribosomal RNA (253 nucleotides) under uncultured bacterium. Its description in RNAcentral is "partial 16S ribosomal RNA". It matches the Rfam family "Bacterial small subunit ribosomal RNA", at positions 524 to 776 of the family's 1533-position model. The record is from RNAcentral.
UACGUAGGGCGCAAGCGUUGUCCGGAAUUAUUGGGCGUAAAGAGCUCGUAGGCGGCUUGUCACGUCGGGUGUGAAAGCCCGGGGCUUAACCCCGGGUCUGCAUUCGAUACGGGCUAGCUAGAGUGUGGUAGGGGAGAUCGGAAUUCCUGGUGUAGCGGUGAAAUGCGCAGAUAUCAGGAGGAACACCGGUGGCGAAGGCGGAUCUCUGGGCCAUUACUGACGCUCAUGCACGAAAGCGUGGGGAGCAAACAGG